UUUCCUCCUUCUUGUGGCUGAGUAUUAUUCCACCGUGUAAAUAUACCACAGCUUUUUAUCCACUCAUCUACUGAUGGGAACUUGGUCUGCUUCUAAAU
This is a long non-coding RNA of Myotis davidii, 98 nucleotides long. RefSeq lists it as uncharacterized. The transcript has 3 exons. NCBI's taxonomy places the organism in Eukaryota, Metazoa, Chordata, Mammalia, Chiroptera, Vespertilionidae. The record is from RefSeq and is a predicted model, not a curated record.